UGUAUAUAUUUUUCUAUUAGUUCUUUUUCUGGAAGUGGACAUUUCAUAGUUGCUCUUUAAACAAUAUUUCUGUUGCUUUAUGUCAUGUUCUCUUGGUUCUGCUCAUUUCACUCUAUAAUUUCAUUUAGGUUUUUCCAUGUUUGUUUGUUUGUUUCAAAUUAACCUGCUUGUUAUUUCUUACUUUGCAGUAGUAUUCCAACACAAUCAGAUUUCAAAACUUGUCACUUUGUCUUUCAUUUUUGAAGGAGAUUAAUGACACCACAAAUUAAUGAUUUCUUGGCUUUCACAUAAAUCGAAUUUAAGAGAGGCAGAAUUGCACAAAUUUGUCAGCUUCACUCUCUAUUCCAGUCUUCUGUAUCCAGUGGCAAGACAAAAGUCAGAAUGACUGCUGAUGUCCUGGAAUGCAGAGGAUGAUUCUUGGCAUCUUUGAUAUCUUACCAAGCUCUAAGUGCUCCACAGUGCUUACUUCAUCUGUCUUCAUGGCUGUUGGAACAAAUGGUUCUCAUCUGCCUAUUCCUCCAGGAGAAGUCUUCACAUGAUUAAGGUAUGGCACUAAGAUGACAGAGUAGAAUCAGAAAAAGCUUGAACCAUGAUGAGAAUCCUCUCCAAACAACCUAAAAUAACACCUCAAAAUGAAUACUGGUGUGAAAGAACCAUCAAGGAGACAGAAUGAAGCAACUUUCAUGUAAAGAACAAGUUGAAAGAACUUGUUUUGCAUCUAUCCAGUACAUGACUGUGGGCAGCUAUUGUUCAUCCUUUUUGAAGAAACCAGCAAUAUCACAGAUCCACGUUGUUUACACUAGAGAAAAAUUUGUGGAGGAAAGUGAAAAAUGGUAUACUUCAACCUGCAUUUAG
Molecule: long non-coding RNA, 855 nt
Filed under: Monodelphis domestica (gray short-tailed opossum)
Lineage: Eukaryota; Metazoa; Chordata; Mammalia; Didelphimorphia; Didelphidae
Description: lncRNA (ENSMODG00000047924.1)
Source: RNAcentral